AGGUUACUGCUAUCGGUGUUCGCUCAAGCCAUGCGAGUCAUAUGUUCUUCGUGAACAUGGCGUACUGCUCAGUAACACGUGGAUAACCUGCCCUUGGGUCCGGCAUAACCCCGGGAAACUGGGGAUAAUUCCGGAUAACGCACAUAUGCUGGAAUGCUUUAUGCGUCAAAUGGAUUCGUCCGCCCAAGGAUGGGUCUGCGGCCUAUCAGGUAGUAGUGGGUGUAAUGUACCUACUAGCCUACGACGGGUACGGGUUGUGAGAGCAAGAGCCCGGAGAUGGAUUCUGAGACAUGAAUCCAGGCCCUACGGGGCGCAGCAGGCGCGAAAACUUUACAAUGCGGGAAACCGUGAUAAGGGGACACCGUGUGCCAGCAUCAUAUGCUGGCUGUCCGGGUGUGUAAAAUACACCUGUUAGCAAGGGCCGGGCAAGACCGGUGCCAGCCGCCGCGGUAACACCGGCGGCCCGAGUGGUGAUCGUGAUUAUUGGGUCUAAAGGGUCCGUAGCCGGUUUGGUCAGUCCUCCGGGAAAUCUGACAGCUUAACCGUUAGGCUUUCGGGGGAUACUGCCAGACUUGGAACCGGGAGAGGUAAGAGGUACUACAGGGGUAGGAGUGAAAUCUUGUAAUCCCUGUGGGACCACCUGUGGCGAAGGCGUCUUACCAGAACGGGUUCGACGGUGAGGGACGAAAGCUGGGGGCACGAACCGGAUUAGAUACCCGGGUAGUCCCAGCCGUAAACGAUGCUCGCUAGGUGUCAGGCAUGGCGCGACCGUGUCUGGUGCCGCGGGGAAGCCGUGAAGCGAGCCACCUGGGAAGUACGGCCGCAAGGCUGAAACUUAA
RNAcentral lists this ribosomal RNA (839 nucleotides) under uncultured archaeon. RNAcentral's name for it is "bacterial SSU rRNA". It matches the Rfam family "Archaeal small subunit ribosomal RNA", at positions 21 to 859 of the family's 1478-position model. The record is from RNAcentral.